Molecule: ribosomal RNA, 305 nt
Filed under: uncultured bacterium
Lineage: Bacteria
Description: bacterial SSU rRNA
Rfam family: Bacterial small subunit ribosomal RNA
Source: RNAcentral
GCCUACGGGGGGCAGCAGUGGGGAAUAUUGCGCAAUGGGCGAAAGCCUGACGCAGCGACGCCGCGUGAGGGAUGAAGGUCUUCGGAUCGUAAACCUCUGUCAGCAGGGAAGAACGGUCACUGUGCUAAUCAGCAGUGAAUUGACGGUACCUGCAAAGGAAGCACCGGCUAACUCCGUGCCAGCAGCCGCGGUAAUACGGAGGGUGCGAGCGUUAAUCGGAAUUACUGGGCGUAAAGCGCUCGUAGGCGGUAUGUCAAGUCAAGGGUGAAAUCCCCGCGCUCAACGUAGGAACUGCCUUUGAAACG